RNAcentral lists this long non-coding RNA (220 nucleotides) under Brassica rapa (field mustard). Its description in RNAcentral is "long non-coding RNA (BRAP_LNC005523)". The record is from RNAcentral. Lineage: Eukaryota; Viridiplantae; Streptophyta; Magnoliopsida; Brassicales; Brassicaceae.
CUUCCUCUGGAUUCGCGGCGAGGAGAGAAGACAGUCAGAUCGUCAUUUCAGCGGUUUUUGUUCCGGGUUGUAGAGGCUUACACAGCUCUUACAUCGCCGAUAAAGUUCACGGGUUGUGGAGGCUUCUUUAGCUCUGUGGCGCCGUUCAAGUUCCCGGAGCGUGGAGGCUAAUACAGCUCCAGUGCUGUCGGCUUUCGCUGGCUCUUGGUAUCCUAGGUUC